UACGGAGGGUGCAAGCGUUAUCCGGAUUCACUGGGUUUAAAGGGUGCGUAGGCGGUUAAGUAAGUCCGUUGUGAAAUCUCUGAGCUUAACUCAGAAACUGCCGUGGAUACUAUUUGCCUUGAAUAUUGUGGAGGUGAGCGGAAUAUGUCAUGUAGCGGUGAAAUGCUUAGAUAUGACAUAGAACACCAAUUGCGAAGGCAGCUCACUACACAAUCAUUGACGCUGAGGCACGAAAGCGUGGGGAUCAAACAGG
RNAcentral lists this ribosomal RNA (253 nucleotides) under uncultured bacterium. RNAcentral's name for it is "partial 16S ribosomal RNA". It matches the Rfam family "Bacterial small subunit ribosomal RNA", at positions 524 to 776 of the family's 1533-position model. The record is from RNAcentral.